This 145-nucleotide microRNA precursor is filed under the name Chlorocebus sabaeus (green monkey). Its description in RNAcentral is "miRNA (ENSCSAG00000026401.1)". Lineage: Eukaryota; Metazoa; Chordata; Mammalia; Primates; Cercopithecidae. The record is from RNAcentral.
AAGGAUUCCUCCUCAAGUUUCAGAGGGAGCAUGACCUUGCUAACACCUUGAUCUUGGACUUCCAGCCUCCAGGACUGUGAGACAAUCCGUUUCUGUUGCUUAAGCCACGCGGUCUGUGGUACUUUCGUUAUGGCUGCCCUAGCAA